Pan troglodytes (chimpanzee) is the source of this 2266-nucleotide long non-coding RNA. RefSeq lists it as uncharacterized. The transcript is spliced from 4 exons. The record is from RefSeq and is a predicted model, not a curated record. NCBI's taxonomy places the organism in Eukaryota, Metazoa, Chordata, Mammalia, Primates, Hominidae.
AAUCAGGUGGCCCUGGGAGGGCCCAAGGGCACCACAGUAGCCCUGCGAGGAGCUCCUGCUAAAACACUUCACCGAACAGGGCCUUGGAGGCCCCGCCCCCGCAGGGAUGGAGGGGGCUACACAGGGAGGCCCCUUGGCACCAAGCUCAGACCAUCAGAAAAGCCACGAUAUGACAGUCACAUCACAAUCACCUUUGUUUAACUCUCGUGAUUCACCCUGACCACUUGCUGAAAAGAGAACAAGCUGUUUCAACAGCACAGUCCCUCGCAGCUCUGUUAGAAGAGGAGCCAAGCCUGGGUACGUUGGCAGCCCCGGGGGACUGAGGAGAGCGUGCCCUGCCACAGCCUGCCCCUCUGUGCUGGUCCCACGUGGGUGAGGAGACAGACGCCAGCCUGGCCCAGGUCCCUCACGUCCUUCCCCACCACCCUGCACCAGAACUGUCUGACACUGGAGGCUUUUACAGAUGUUUCCUCAGCUCCUGCCUGAAAGUCAGGGCUUUACUGACCCAUUUCAAAGAAGGAAGAAUAGAGUCCCAAAUAAGAGAAAUAGCUCACCUGGGGGCCCAGACGAGGCGGCAAAAGCAGACUCAGAACCCGGCAUUCUAGCUUUCAGGCCCUGGAAUACUCCUGGACAAUGCUGCCCACCUCUGAAUAAGCAGUGAAGUGCAACUGAGCCCUCACCUGCGCCACACACUGUGAUGUGCACUUCGGUUGCACAAAGUAAUUCUCAGCAUAUAGUUUCCAGACCAGCAAUAGCAGCAUUACCUAGGAGCUUGUUGGAAAUGCAGAAUCCCAGACCCCAUCCCAGACCUACAAAAUCAGAAUAUCUGAGGGUGGGGCUCAGGAAUCUGUGUUUUUGCAAAACCAACAAAUGAUUUUGAUGCGUGCUUAAGUUUGAGAACCUAUGAAUGCGUCUCACUGUGUGGCCAGGCUGGUCUUGAACUCCUGGCCUCAAGCAAUCCUCCCGCCUCAGCCUCCCAAAGUGCUGGGAUUACAGGAGUGAGCCACCAUGCCCAGCUGGGAGUAGAAUUCUUAACCCCUUGAUUUUACUUCUGCCUCCAACAGGCAGCAGGUCUGGUUCCAGAUUGAGUAGGAUCACUCAACAUAGGACUGGACUCUCACUCUCUCUCACUCUGCCCCGCUCCCAUGAUCCUUAAGAUCCUUAGGUCCCUCCCUGUGCCAGCCCCAGGAGACCCUAAGAAGAGGAGAGUUCAUCUCCUGGGUCUCCCCAAGCACUCAAGGUCCUUGGGGUGAAACCAUGAGAGACAAUGGUGUGCUGGUCAAUGUCUAACGGGGCUAUCCAGGAGAACAAGAGGCUCUGGUUUGUAGGGUUUGCCACUUUCUGCAGUGUAAAUGCCCCCACUGCAGCCAACAUCAAGCUACCAAACAGGACACUGCUGAGCAGAAGAAAUGUGCACGAUCAGCGCACCAUGGGACAAAGGCACAGUGUCACAGGAGGAGGAAGAAGGAGAGAAGGGGCUUUGGCAGCCUAGGACGCUGCAGAGACCCCAGCUCUCCCACCCACCCCACCUGCCCUGCCUAGGCUUUGCCCCUAUGUUCCAAAUAUGUCAGAAACACAGAAUUCACUCCAAGUGGCCCUUUGCUUAUUGUUUCCUAGAACAAACGUCUCUUUCUUUCUGUAAAAGUUUCUGACAUAAGUAAUCCAUGUACAACGUAGAAAACUAGGGAAUACAUGUGAGUUAAAAUGAAGAAACUAAAAGCACAACUUUCCAGUAUGUAAAUACAUUGUUACAACAUUAAAAACAGGUAGUGCUCUGUAUUCCGCUUUUCUAACUCAGCAGUACCCAGUGAACAUCCUUUCACAUCAAAAACAGAGACCAAGGCCCAGCCCGAUGGCUCACACUUGCAAUUCCAGGGUUUUGGGAGGCCAAGGUGGGAGGAUCACUUAAGGCCAGGAGUUCGAGACCAGCCUAGGCAACAUAUCGAGAUUCCGUCUCUACAGAAAAAUAAAAAAAAAUUAGCUGGGCAUGGUGGCAUGCAUGUGUAGUCGCAGCUACUCAGGAGGCUGAGGCAGGAGGAUCACUUGAGCCCAGGAAGUCAAGGCUGCAGUGAGUUAUGAUGGCAUCACUGCACUCUAGCCUGAGUGACACAGCCAGACCCUGUCUCAAAAAAAUAAAAAAUAAAAAAAAACAGAGACCAACACUAUUAUCAAUGAUGGCCUGAGUCCCAUCACAGGAGGCUCCAAAUAACCAAUAUCCUGUUGCUGGAUAGCCAGGCUAUUUCCAGCUGUCUCCUCCUGUAAGAGA